Molecule: ribosomal RNA, 427 nt
Filed under: uncultured bacterium
Lineage: Bacteria
Description: bacterial SSU rRNA
Rfam family: Bacterial small subunit ribosomal RNA
Source: RNAcentral
UGGGGAAUUUUGGACAAUGGGCGCAAGCCUGAUCCAGCAAUGCCGCGUGCAGGAUGAAGGCCUUCGGGUUGUAAACUGCUUUUGUACGGAGCGAAAAGGUCUGCCCUAAUACGGUGGGCUCAUGACGGUACCGUAAGAAUAAGCACCGGCUAACUACGUGCCAGCAGCCGCGGUAAUACGUAGGGUGCGAGCGUUAAUCGGAAUUACUGGGCGUAAAGCGUGCGCAGGCGGUUAUGUAAGACAGAGGUGAAAUCCCCGGGCUCAACCUGGGAACUGCCUUUGUGACUGCAUGGCUAGAGUGCGGCAGAGGGGGAUGGAAUUCCGCGUGUAGCAGUGAAAUGCGUAGAUAUGCGGAGGAACACCGAUGGCGGAGGCAAUCCCCUGGACCUGUACUGACGCUCAUGCACGAAAGCGUGGGGAGCAAACA